Phascolarctos cinereus (koala) is the source of this 562-nucleotide long non-coding RNA. RefSeq lists it as uncharacterized. NCBI's taxonomy places the organism in Eukaryota, Metazoa, Chordata, Mammalia, Diprotodontia, Phascolarctidae. The record is from RefSeq and is a predicted model, not a curated record.
GGCCUCAAUGUUGCACUGGUGAGCUGAGAUCUCAGCAAGUUACGUCGGGAGGCAGAGGACAUUGAGAGACUCCAUGGUAAGGAAACAAGAGUCAUCCAGGUGGACUUCAGUGGAGGCUUAGAGAUCUAUGAGACAGUUGAGAGAGGCUUGGAGGGCCUAGACAUCGGCAUUCUAGUCAACAAUGUUGGAGUAGCUCCCAAGAUAAUCCCCCAGAAGCUAAUGGAUGUGAAGAAUCCAGGCAAGAGUUUCACAGAUGUGAUGAAUUGUAACAUGCUGUCAAUGGUUCAGGGGAUGAGGAGUCAUCAUCAACAUAUCCUCUGAGGCUGGCAGACAGCCUUCCCCAUUCUUGGCGUUAUGUGGGACUACUAAGGACUUGGAAGAAUGUCAUGUAGACAAGAACCACUCUUGUUCUCGUUGAACCCAGAGGGCAGAACCAGGAGCAAUGAGGCCUUUAUGAAUAGCUUCUCUCGGGCUGUGGCCUUGGAAUACCGGUCCUCUGGAGUCAUCAUACAGACUCUUACUCCUCUGGUAGUUUCCAGUAACAUGAGCCAGAUGCCACCCA